Molecule: transfer RNA, 90 nt
Filed under: Pseudomonas sp.
Lineage: Bacteria; Pseudomonadati; Pseudomonadota; Gammaproteobacteria; Pseudomonadales; Pseudomonadaceae
Also listed under: 7 other names
Description: tRNA-Ser
Rfam family: tRNA
About the family: Transfer RNA (tRNA) molecules are approximately 80 nucleotides in length.
Source: RNAcentral
GGUGAGGUGUCCGAGUGGCUGAAGGAGCACGCCUGGAAAGCGUGUAUAGGUUUAUCCCUAUCGAGGGUUCGAAUCCCUCCCUCACCGCCA